GAUGAAGAACGUAGCGAAAUGCGAUAAGUAAUGUGAAUUGCAGAAUUCAGUGAAUCAUCGAAUCUUUGAACGCAUCUUGCGCUCCUUGGUAUUCCGAGGAGCAUGCCUGUUUGAGUGUCAUUAAAUUCUCAACCUCACCAGUUUUGUUAUGAGACUGUGUAAGGCUUGGAUGUGGGGGUUUUUGCAGGCUGCCUCUGUGCGGUCUGCUCCCCUGAAAUGCAUUAGCGAGUUCACUAAGCUCCGUCUAUUGGUGUGAUAAUUAUCUACGCCGUGGAAUGGGUUUAGACUUGCUUCUAACCGUCUGCAAAGACAACUUUUGACAAUUUGACCUCAAAUCAGGUAGGACUACCCGCUGAACUUAAGCAUAUCAAUAAGCGGAGGA
Molecule: unclassified non-coding RNA, 382 nt
Filed under: soil metagenome
Description: partial contains 5.8S ribosomal RNA, internal transcribed spacer 2, and large subunit ribosomal RNA
Rfam family: 5.8S ribosomal RNA (bases 1-120)
Source: RNAcentral